GCGCUGCUACCGGGAGGGGUUUUAAGUUCACAGGAUGGCCCGCAGGAGCAACAUCACUCAAACACGCUUAUGAGGAAACAUCAUGACACCCUGUGACGCACUGCUGAACUUUUGGGGACUGGAGAGCACGAAUCAGAAGCGCUACUGGUCCUUGAAAAAGAUACGCCUCGAGAAAGAACAUCAAGUACUGGCCCAACAGAACUGUGAAGGGGACUGCCACUGAUUGCCUUUAUUGUUUUGACAUUCUAUAUUGCGGCGGGUGUUGUGUAUGCGUCGCGAUGUGCAUUGUGUCUUGGGCCACCAGGUUGCAGGGGCUCACCCCCUACCUGCUCAGUCAUUGGUUCAUGCUGUGAAGGGGUGGAGUGUAGUGGAAUUUCAGGGUCACAGCCUGAACCAAUGGGUGGGCUCUGUGAGUGUGUGAGUGCGGCGGCGCGGCGGUACGAACGGGGGAGGGACACAUUCCUCAGCUCAGCUCGGUCUGCGCGCUGCUACCGGGAGGGGUGAGUCGAUUCUUUUUGAUAUCUUUCCCUCGUGUGCCUAUUUCUUAAAUAAAGGCUUUGUCAUCACCU
Molecule: long non-coding RNA, 569 nt
Filed under: Gallus gallus (chicken)
Lineage: Eukaryota; Metazoa; Chordata; Aves; Galliformes; Phasianidae
Source: RNAcentral